CAAGUCGAACGAGAAAGUCCGCAAGGAUGAGUAAAGUGGCGUACGGGUGAGUAACACGUGGAUAACCUGCCCUUUAGUGGGGAAUACCGCUGGGAAACCGGCGACAAUACCGCAUAAGCUCGAGAGAGGAAAGCAGCAAUGCGCUGAAGGAGGGGUCCGCGGCCGAUUAGCUAGUUGGCAGGGUAAAAGCCUACCAAGGCUGUGAUCGGUAGCCGGCCUGAGAGGGCACACGGCCACACUGGCACUGAAACACGGGCCAGACUCCUACGGGAGGCAGCAGUGGGGAAUCUUGCACAAUGGGGGAAACCCUGAUGCAGCGACGCCGCGUGAGCGAUGAAGCCCUUCGGGGUGUAAAGCUCUUUCGGCAGGGACGAUUAUGACGGUACCUGCAGAAGCAGCUGCGGCUAACUACGUGCCAGCAGCCGCGGUAAUACGUAGGCAGCAAGCGUUGUUCGGAGUUACUGGGCGUAAAGGGUGCGUAGGCGGCUUCUUAAGUCUGGUGUGAAAUCUCCCGGCUCAACUGGGAGGGUGCGCCGGAUACUGAGGGGCUAGAGUGUGGGAGAGGAAAGUGGAAUUCCUGGUGUAGCGGUGAAAUGCGUAGAUAUCAGGAGGAACACCGGUGGUGUAAACGGCUUUCUGGACCAUAACUGACGCUGAAGCACGAAAGCGUGGGUAGCAAACAGGAUUAGAUACCCUGGUAGUCCACGCCCUAAACGAUGCAUAUUUGGUGUGGGCCAUUCAUUUGGUCCGUGCCGGAGCUAACGCGUUAAAUAUGCCGCCUGGGGAGUACAGUCGCAAGGCUGAAACUCAAAGGAAU
This 817-nucleotide ribosomal RNA is filed under the name uncultured Bacillota bacterium. RNAcentral's name for it is "bacterial SSU rRNA". It matches the Rfam family "Bacterial small subunit ribosomal RNA", at positions 58 to 910 of the family's 1533-position model. Lineage: Bacteria; Bacillati; Bacillota. The record is from RNAcentral.